UGGGGAAUUUUGCACAAUGGGCGCAAGCCUGAUGCAGCGACGCCGCGUGAGGGAUGAAGGCCUUCGGGUUGUAAACCUUUUUCGCUCAUGGUCAAGCCGCCGCUUCGGGUUGUGGUGAGGGUAGUGGGUAAAGAAGCGCCGGCUAACUACGUGCCAGCAGCCGCGGUAAUACGUAGGGCGCGAGCGUUGUCCGGAAUUAUUGGGCGUAAAGAGUGCGUAGGCGGCAAAUUAAGUCAGAUGUUAAAACUAAGGGCUCAACCCAUAGAUUGCAUCUGAAACUGAUAUGCUUGAGUCAAGUAGAGGAAGGUGGAAUUCCUAGUGUAGCAGUGGAAUGCGUAGAUAUUAGGAGGAAUACCGAUGGCGAAGGCGACUUUCUGGACUUGAACUGACGCUGAGGCACGAAAGCGUGGGGAUCAAACAGG
RNAcentral lists this ribosomal RNA (422 nucleotides) under Verrucomicrobiota bacterium. RNAcentral's name for it is "Verrucomicrobia bacterium partial 16S ribosomal RNA". It matches the Rfam family "Bacterial small subunit ribosomal RNA", at positions 355 to 776 of the family's 1533-position model. The record is from RNAcentral. Lineage: Bacteria; Pseudomonadati; Verrucomicrobiota.